UUGACGUGAAAAAUAUUGACUUCAACUCGAGAUAGGUUGGCAUGGCUUCGGAUGGUUCGGUUUGGCUGGCGGAUGGCUACAUAGCGACUAUGCUCUGGGCUCGGGCUGGCACUGUUCUGGCCCCGUGGCUGCCUUCGUUGCUUCAGCGCCUCAGCUUAGCUCAGCUCAACUCAACACGACACGGCACACAUUUCGUCUGUCGUUGCGUUCUCUAGUCCGUCGUUAUUUCAGAGCGGCUGGUUCGUAUGCCAUAGGAAAGUUUCAGUAUCGUUUUGGUAGUUGUCGAGUACUUAUCGACUUAGAAUCAGUCGGCUCUACACUAAAUAUUGUAUUUCCGUAAUUACCCGGUUAGGAAAGUAGUACCUAGUGUCUGUAGAACUCUGCUUCUGUUCUCUUUAUCUCUGUACGGGGUUGAAUCGGAUCUUUGCGGAAACGGAACGGUUUUCGGGAAAAUCGCGCGCUAGUAUCGACUAAACAGGCUCAGCCCAAGAAAGCGCGCAUCGAGAUCGGUAUAGUCGAUAGUUCGGUUUGAGUAAGUAGUUCCGGCGAAAUGGUACUUCCUAAUUGAGAAGAUAAAUAGGAGUAGAUUGAAGUUGUGGCUGAAGCGCAAGGUAUCUCUAAUCUCCAGCAACGUGCUCCAUCGACGAUUGCCGACAGUAUCUGUUGUUGACAUCCAUAGUGGAAUUGCCCGGCUUGUAUCUGAAUCUUCGUCGCUUGACGGUGAUUGAGCACUAUUUGUUCUGUGAACGAUAGGUUGCGUAGCGUAUCUUCUGACUAAUGCACUAUCGACAUCGUCGAUAACGUAAGAAUCACGACUGCUCAGCACAAACAGCAACUGACUAUCUUUCGAGGGUAGAGAGGCUUCGCAAAGUGUUCCCAGGCCAGGCAAGCUACGACUAGUGCCCUUGUAACCCAACACCGAAAAGAUACUAAUAAGUACUUAAGCUGUUUAAAUAUUUGCCGGGCGCAUAUCGACCGCCGCGAGCGCUGCUGCAACGCAUACAGAGUGCAAUCGAGUGCAACAUUGCAGCCUAGUCUAUCUGCAUCCGUCGCUAGAUCGAUUGAUUGCUUCAAAUUGGCCGUGCCGUCCGUGCAGGUUGCCUGAAUCGUUUACUGGCCAAAUUAGACCCUCGGCCGACCCAAAAGCCGUGUCGCCCGGGCUGAUAAGAACAUCUGAUGGCACGCAGAUACGCGUGAACCCUCUAUAGAUACUCAGAUACAAGAUUUCGUGUGUUAUCGUACCGAAUUGUUGCUAGUCCAUUCGGAACGAAAUUUGCGCGGGAAAUGAACGAGUGGUGCUGGUACUUCGGUCGUCUUUGUUGUUAUGUAGUUGAUGAAUAACAACGAAUACAAUAUAAUAUCGCAAAUUGACGCUAUUAAAAUUCAAUUAAAUCUAAUUUAACCAAGAAGAGCUGCCAAUCUCUGCUCGUAUCGCUUUCGUCUUGUCCACAGCGCUGUUUCGCUAGAGUAGUUAACGUUUCGGUCUGUCCGUUCGGGGAUACUUACAAAUAGAUACAAGGCGUUCACUCAGAUUCCUGGUACAGGACGAAAGGAAGACCAACCUUACCCCAAUCAUCAGCUAAUUUUGAUGCUUGAAGCCAGCGAAAUUCCAAGCAAUUUACACUUUUCGCGCACUUAAUUACUCGUCUAAUAUCUUAUACCAACGAACUAAGUUCAGUGGAUACCUAGUUUGGGGAACAUUACCCCCGCAGAUUUCGGCUUUGUCUUUCAGGACUCUUCAAUCAGAGCUAACCAACUAGCACGUGUUCGAAUCUAGAUACACUAAUCAAACUCAAAUCCUGUAACUCAUCUACAGCAUUUUGGUCCAGCAUUCUGCAAACUUCUCAAAGAUACCGUGGAAAGUAUUAAAAAAAAUUAAGAUAUAAGAUAAUCUAGCAUUAUAAAAAGUGUAUCCAUAAUUGCAACUAGUGUGUGUGCUAAUCAAGUGCAAUUUAAUUUUGUAAAUUUAAGUCAGAAUAAUAAUUCGAAAGUGUGCAACCCUCUCAUCUCUCACAAGGUCUGGAAAUUGUGUUCAAUCAAAUUGAAAAAGAAAAAAUUAUUUUUUCGAAAUAUUGUUCUUUUUUUAAAAAUAAAAUAAAAGUGAAAUAAGAAAAGUGUGCUAUUAAAAUUUUUUUCUAUAUAAAGAAAAAAAAGUAUCUCUCUCUAUAUAUAUAUAUUAUAUAUAAAUAUAUAUUUUCAAAAAAAAUAUUUAGUGAAAUUUAAAUUUAAUCUAACAAAAAGAAAAGCUAACAAAAUGAUGGAUCAUCAAUCACAGCAAGAUAUGUCUACCGGCUCACCAGCUGAGGUGCCAAAUGAUCCAGGAUUUGCUACAUAUGAGGCGCAGGAUCUACAAGUUUGGAAAAUGUUCAUCGGAGGACUGAGUUGGCAAACAAGUCCAG
This 2399-nucleotide long non-coding RNA is filed under the name Hermetia illucens (black soldier fly). RNAcentral's name for it is "uncharacterized LOC119649794". The record is from RNAcentral. Lineage: Eukaryota; Metazoa; Arthropoda; Insecta; Diptera; Stratiomyidae.